RNAcentral lists this ribosomal RNA (490 nucleotides) under uncultured bacterium. RNAcentral's name for it is "partial 16S ribosomal RNA". It matches the Rfam family "Bacterial small subunit ribosomal RNA", at positions 29 to 507 of the family's 1533-position model. The record is from RNAcentral.
AUUGAACGCUGGCGGCAGGCCUAACACAUGCAAGUCGAACGGUAACAGGAAGAAGCUUGCUUCUUUGCUGACGAGUGGCGGACGGGUGAGUAAUGUCUGGGAAACUGCCUGAUGGAGGGGGAUAACUACUGGAAACGGUAGCUAAUACCGCAUAACGUCGCAAGACCAAAGAGGGGGACCUUCGGGCCUCUUGCCAUCGGAUGUGCCCAGAUGGGUUUAGCUAGUAGGUGGGGUAACGGCUCACCUAGGCGACGAUCCCUAGCUGGUCUGAGAGGAUGACCAGCCGCACUGGAAAUGAGACACGGUCCAGAGGACUACGGGAGGCAGAAGUGGGGAAGAUUGAAGAAGGGGCGCAAGUGUGAUGAAGCUAUGGGGCGUGUAUGAAGAAGGACUUUGGGUUGUAAAGUACGUGCAGAGGGGGGGAAGGGAGUAAAGUUAAUACCUUUGCUCAUGGACGUGAGACGAAGAAGAAGCAGCGGCUAAACCCGUG